UCCAGGGUUUCGCAAGCUAAUUUCCGUUCUAUUUUUUCAGCUUCGAGGUUCUCCAGUUGAUUUUGUGUCGGAGCUGUUUUGUAGGUGAUGACUCCAAGUCAACCUAAUACUGGCCUUUUUGUGGGCUUAAACGGGGGACAUGUUGUUACCAAGAAGGAAUUGGCUCCCCGCCCUUCAAAUCGAAAGGG
This is a long non-coding RNA of Hibiscus syriacus, 188 nucleotides long. RefSeq lists it as uncharacterized. NCBI's taxonomy places the organism in Eukaryota, Viridiplantae, Streptophyta, Magnoliopsida, Malvales, Malvaceae. The record is from RefSeq and is a predicted model, not a curated record. The transcript has 2 exons.